This 253-nucleotide ribosomal RNA is filed under the name uncultured bacterium. Its description in RNAcentral is "partial 16S ribosomal RNA". It matches the Rfam family "Bacterial small subunit ribosomal RNA", at positions 524 to 776 of the family's 1533-position model. The record is from RNAcentral.
UACAGAGGGUGCAAGCGUUAAUCGGAAUUACUGGGCGUAAAGCGCGUGUAGGUGGUUUGUUAAGUUGGAUGUGAAAUCCCCGGGCUCAACCUGGGAACUGCAUUCAAAACUGACAAGCUAGAGUAUGGUAGAGGGUGGUGGAAUUUCCUGUGUAGCGGUGAAAUGCGUAGAUAUAGGAAGGAACACCAGUGGCGAAGGCGACCACCUGGACUGAUACUGACACUGAGGUGCGAAAGCGUGGGGAGCAAACAGG